UGGUUGGAAAAGUUAUUUGUGGUUCCCGAGUGAGAGUUGAACUAUCAACAGGCAUGCCUCGGAGAUCUCGAUUUGAUAGACCACCUGCCCGACGUCCCUUUGAUCCCAAUGAUAGAUGCUAUGAGUGUGGCGAAAAGGGACAUUAUGCUUAUGAUUGUCAUCGCUAUAGCCGCCGAAGAAGAAGCAGGUUUCUUCGUUUGAGUCAGUCGCCUUGAUUCAGAAUGUCACGAGCCUUAUGAUAUCAUGCUGAGGCGCCUUGCAAAUCCGACAAUUAAGAUCCUCCUAGACCUUGAGGUGAUCAGCAUAAGAGGCCAGAUCCCCUCGAGUCAUCUACACCUAGCUUCACCUUAUUCUUUAAAGGGCAGAAAAUUUGAGACGGUGAUCGCCGUAACAGUAAAUUUGGCUUACAAUUGGGGGCCCCUCCGGUUUAGAAAGAGGAACACCAGAUUGACCACAUUCCCAACUAGAAAAAUCUUCUUGCGUCAAUCAAGCCUCACCUGGCUCAUUUGGCUGUCAGUUUGAUCGUCGUGUAGAUUGAAGAAAACAUCUAGAUGCAGCGAUCGGCUAUAGAUACUUCUAGAUCGUCUAGAUCUACUAGACCAUGGGCCAAAGAGGGUCGACCUGCAAACUUGCAAGGUUUAUUUUAAAUACACAUUACAGUGUUUUAUAUUAUGUUAAUCUAAAAUGUAAUUGAGCUUUUAACAAAUCUUUUUUUAGGUAGUUUAAAAAAAAAAAAAAACGACAACUAAUAGGCCCAGAGUUUAUUUCCAAAUGAGACACUAAAUUUAAAUAGUUUGAGAUUUGGUUUCAGCAGAGGCACACCGACUCUAAAAGGAGUUGCCAUCUAAUAUUAUAUUUUUUUCUGACUUGAAAAAUAGGUCACGGUCUAGAUCACAUUCGAGAUCCAGAGGUAGACGAUACUCUCGCUCACGCAGCAGGAGCAGGGGAAGGAGGUCAAGAUCAGCAUCUCCUCGGCGAUCAAGAUCUGUGUCUCUUCGUAGAUCAAGAUCAGCUUCACUCAGACGAUCUAGGUCUGGUUCUAUAAAAGGAUCGAGAUCCCGGUCCAGGUCGAGAUCAAGAUCCAGGUCUCUUUCACGGCCUCGAAGCAGCCGAUCAAAGUCCAGAUCUCCAUCUCCAAAAAGAAGUCGUUCCCCAUCAGGAAGUCCGAGAAGAAGUGCAAGUCCUGAAAGAGUGGACUGAAGUGCUCAAGUUCACCUUUUAGGGAAAAGUUAUUUUGUUUACAUUAUUAUAAGGGAUUUGUGAUGUCUGUAAAGUGUAACUUAGGGAGGGUGUUUCAACCAUCUAAUCAAAAUGGAUCUGGACUAUUACUCUGUAAUUUACAGCAGUAAGAUAAUACAAAUUUUUGUUGAAUGUAUUAACAUCCUAUGGUCUGAAAAUGUGGAUUUUUAUUUGGCACAUUUAAAAUAAAAUGUUUCUAAUUAGA
Odocoileus virginianus texanus is the source of this 1444-nucleotide non-coding RNA. The record is from RefSeq and is a predicted model, not a curated record. NCBI's taxonomy places the organism in Eukaryota, Metazoa, Chordata, Mammalia, Artiodactyla, Cervidae.